RNAcentral lists this transfer RNA (73 nucleotides) under Candidatus Woesearchaeota archaeon. RNAcentral's name for it is "tRNA-Val". It matches the Rfam family "tRNA". From Rfam's summary of the family: Transfer RNA (tRNA) molecules are approximately 80 nucleotides in length. The record is from RNAcentral. Lineage: Archaea; Nanobdellati; Candidatus Woesearchaeota.
GGGCCUAUGGUCUAGUGGUUAUGACGUCUCCUUUACACGGAGAAGGUCCCCAGUUCGAAUCUGGGUAGGCCCA